RNAcentral lists this unclassified non-coding RNA (217 nucleotides) under uncultured fungus. RNAcentral's name for it is "sequence contains ITS1". The record is from RNAcentral. Lineage: Eukaryota; Fungi.
ACGAGUAAAUUUGAAAAGGGUUGUAGCUGGCCACAAACCAAACCAAAAACAAUAAAUAAACCAAGGCAUGUGCACACCCUGCUCAAUCCACUCUCAUACCCCUGUGCACUUAUUGUAGGCUCGGUGGCAUGGCGCUCGCGCGUCAGUAAGCCUUGCCUACGUUUAUAUAUCACAAACUCAGUUAAAGAAUGUAACCUCGCGUUUAACGCAAUAAAUA